AUCUAGCUGACGAGUCUUAAAUAGGACGAAACGUGUCUCCUGGAU
This 45-nucleotide non-coding RNA is filed under the name Schistosoma margrebowiei. The record is from RNAcentral. Lineage: Eukaryota; Metazoa; Platyhelminthes; Trematoda; Strigeidida; Schistosomatidae.